AUGACUUAGUUGUAACUAUUCGAUGAAUCAGUUUAUACUGAAAAUUCCUGGCUUUAUUUUCUAUGGUAAUUUUAUUUAUCAGUGCAAAACAGUCACAAAGAUAGUCAUCUGCUAGAGUAAUAUUAAGUUUGAGACUACAUUAUUUUAC
Haliotis rubra (blacklip abalone) is the source of this 148-nucleotide long non-coding RNA. RefSeq lists it as uncharacterized. The record is from RefSeq and is a predicted model, not a curated record. The transcript is spliced from 3 exons. Lineage: Eukaryota; Metazoa; Mollusca; Gastropoda; Lepetellida; Haliotidae.